The sequence is a small nuclear RNA, 118 nucleotides long. Its record names the gene U5. It matches the Rfam family "U5 spliceosomal RNA". Rfam says of the family: U5 RNA is a component of both types of known spliceosome. The precise function of this molecule is unknown, though it is known that the 5' loop is required for splice site selection and p220 binding, and that both the 3' stem-loop and the Sm site are important for Sm protein binding and cap methylation. The record is from Ensembl.
UUACUCUGGUUUCUCUUCAUAACGCACAAGUCUUUCGUCUUUUACUAAAGACUUCCGUGGAGAGUGACUCCAACGAGUUUAGCCUAUUUUUGGCAGGCUUUGCCCUCUGGCCGAGCCG